RNAcentral lists this long non-coding RNA (1324 nucleotides) under Marmota monax (woodchuck). Lineage: Eukaryota; Metazoa; Chordata; Mammalia; Rodentia; Sciuridae. The record is from RNAcentral.
UGAAUUCUGCUUAUUAUCAGCAAAGUUUAAUAUUCUCUGCCUUAUUCUGUGCCUUAUACUUCUAAAGUGGGAACAAUUUUCUGUAUCUGAAGAGAUUUUUUUAGAGCUGUUGAAUCUGGUGUUUUGGGCUGUUUCUUGCACAUCAAUUCUUUUCACAACAAUAUACUCUCAAAGGUAAAUACUGACACAGUGGUGUCUUCCCCAAGUAAACUUUGAAAGGUAAAGUUUCAUGGAUGUAUUCCACAUUAAACUAUAAUCAGCUAAUGGUGAUAAUUUUAAAAAGUAACUUUAUAAAGUAUAACAAUUUGUGUGGUGGAAUGUGUCAAAGAAUAUAAAAAGUCACUAGAGAGUAACAAUGUUUUUAAAUACUGGUCUUAACUAAAGAAGGUUAGGCAUUUUUUCUGUAAAAAAAAUAUAGUCCCACAGUUUACUAGUUAGUCAAUGACACCGUGAUUUUUAAAAGUAUAUGGCAAAUUGUAUUGUUAAGAAAUCUUUAUAUUUGAAGUUUUGGGUUUAUAUCAAAGUACAGCAUGUACAUCAUUAAAAUGAUCAGUUAAAAAACUGCGUUGUUUUUAGAGUAUCAAUACAAAAAUGCAUGGUUUGAGUAUAUUAAAGGCUAAGAACACAGGCUUGGAGUCAGAUUUCAGAUAAUCUUAUUAGCUGUAUGACCUGGGACAAGUUAUUUGCCUUCACUUAGCCUCAGUUUUCUCAUUUGAAAAAUAGGGUAAAUCUUAGGGUUUUUGUGAAAUUUAAAACAUAAUUUAUGUAAUGUAGGUUAGUUAGUCUUUGUUGUGGAAUACCUGUUGGUUAUUUUUAUUAGGAAAUGUUUAGAUACCUAUUGUAACCUUUUUGCUACUUAGUUAUCAUUCGAACAUGAUCCUUGGUGACCAUUUAUUUUCUAAUGUGGCUGAAGUUCUGAAAGACUUUGUCCACUAGUCCAAGUCCAAGUUAUUAAGUAAUUAUUCUUUUUUCUCUCCUUUUAAAAAUAAAACAAGACCAUAAAGAUAUCUCUCAGUCACAGCUUUGGAUUGCCAUUUGAUAAUCAGUCUUGUUACCACAUUGAAUUAAAAGAAUGUUAGUCCAAAAUUAUGUUUUAAUUUUACUCUGCAACCAUAUUAUAGUGGGGCUCCUUCUACUACAUUCACAUAAUUCCCCUGGUCUAGGGAUUUCAGAUUAAGAACUAAUGAUGUAACAUUUCAUUGUGUCUUACACUUCUCAUUGUCCAUUUCAGUAUCCUAUUUAGAUUUUCCUCUUCACGUUUCACGUAAAUUUGUUUGAGAUCAUUUUGAGCCUUAUUUAUAAACUUCAUAUUAAAUCUAGUCAU